This 275-nucleotide long non-coding RNA is filed under the name Elaeis guineensis (African oil palm). RNAcentral describes it as "long non-coding RNA (EGUI_LNC078777)". Lineage: Eukaryota; Viridiplantae; Streptophyta; Magnoliopsida; Arecales; Arecaceae. The record is from RNAcentral.
UUUAUUUCAAAAGUUUGAUAUUCGAAUUUUUAUUAUUUAUUAUUUAUAAAUUUAUGUAAAUUAAAAUAAAAUAUACAAUAUAAAUGUAAUUUAACCUAUUUAAAUAAAAUUAUUUUAUUUCCAUGUGUAAUGCAUAUGAAAUGGCUCAAACUUUCAAAGAGUAUGUUAGGAAUAAAGCAAAAUAGAAUAAAUGAAUUUAUAAGCAACCCAAUUGGUUUAGGAUUCAAGCUUACCUGAGUUGAAUUGAGUUUAUUUCUGUAUGCAAUGCAUGUUGG